This 556-nucleotide ribosomal RNA is filed under the name Phyllopsora africana. RNAcentral's name for it is "SSU rRNA". It matches the Rfam family "Bacterial small subunit ribosomal RNA", at positions 370 to 925 of the family's 1533-position model. Lineage: Eukaryota; Fungi; Ascomycota; Lecanoromycetes; Lecanorales; Ramalinaceae. The record is from RNAcentral.
AAUAGCCUAACGGCUGAACCAGCAACUUGGAGGAAUGAAUAGCAAUAGCUAAUUGCGCAAAUAUAUGAUGCAAUAUCGACUCAGUCGAAUAAAAUUCUGGCUAAAAUUAUGAUAAUGACAUUGUUUAGCUACGUGUCUUGACCAAAUUACGUGCCAGCAGUCGCGGUAAUACGUAAAAGACUAGUGUUAUUCAUCUUUAAUAGGUUUAAAGGGUACCCAGACAGUAAAUCAAGCCCUAGUCGGGACUAAUUUGCUAGAGUUACUUACACGGGGGUUUUAAAGUACUAAUGGUGUAGAGAUAAAAUUUUGUAAUACCAUUUUUCGAAAGAAAAGUCAUGGCACUGGUAAAGGCGAAAGCAUCCCCUUAUGUGAUAACUGACGUUGAAGGACGAAGGCUUUGGAUCGCGAAUAGGAUUAGAUACCCUAGUAGUCGAAGCAGAGAAUUAUGAGUGUCAUAGAUUAAAAAUUAAUUUUAUUCUAUAAAUGAAAGUGUAAGCAUUCCACCUCAAGAGUAAUUUGGCAACAUUGAAACUGAAAUCAUUAGACCGUUUCUGAA